GGCCGGUAUGAAGUGAACGUUUCGGCCCACUCAGACCUUCAAGUUACGAGCUUCUGCCGAGGCCCAGUAAAAGGGAUCUGAAAAAAGGGUCCAGAAGCAGAGCUUCCUCUUCGCCAUCCCCUCCCGACGGCGUCGCCGAAACCCUCUCCGCCGAACACCCCCGCUGCUCCAGCCCUUCUCCCGGCGAAGCACGGGAACCUCGAAGGCAGUAUACGACAUGGCUUCGCAUGCGUACCCUUCCAAGAGACCAUUCCAGAAGAAGUAUUCAGAACACAAUGGUCGGGCCAAGUGGCAAAAGACAAAACAUGCUCCUUCACAGCAGCCUCAGCUGACAAUACAGCCUGGAGUUCCUCUUAUCCGCAUUCUUUGCCCUACUGAGAAAUGUGGGAAUGUUAUUGGUAAAGGUGGUAGCAUCAUUGCAAAGAUAAGGCAAGAAAACGGAGUGAAAAUCCGGGUUGAUGAAGCAGUCCCUGGUUGCGACGAGAGAGUUAUUGUCAUAACUACCGUUGAGAAGGACAAAGAAGCUAGCCACGAGCAAGGUAAAGAGAAUGAUGGUGGUACUGCUGUUUCUGCUGAUGGCGAGCAUGAGAAGGAGAAAGACCACAGUAAGGAAGAAAAAGAUGAUUCAGAUAAUGCCCACGGCAAGGAAGAACAAGAUGAUGCAGAGAGAGAUGACAGCAAGGAAGAAAAUGAUGAUUCCUCUGUUGCAAAAACUACAAAGUUGGAGCCAGAGAGGGUAAUACCAUCAGCAAUGAACGCUGUUUUGCAUGUCUUUGAUAGGAUUUUUAUAACUGAAAGUGAAAAUGGAACUGGAGAUGCAUCAGGCCAGAAAACUCCUCUUUCUUUCAGAUUGUUGGUGCUAGAUAGCCAAGUAGGUUCGCUUUUGGGAAUUCGAGGUAGUGUGAUUAAGCAAAUGUCCGCUGACAGUGGCUGUGAAAUCCGAGUUUCAAAGGAGAAUCUUCCUUUAUGUGCUUUACUCAAAGAUGAACUUUGUCAGAUUAAUGGAGAGCUUGACUCAGUUAGGAAAGGUCUGAAUGCAGUGGCUCAAGUGCUCUUUACUCACCCCCCUAGGGAAAGUGAUGUAGUUCCUGUUGUUCAUCCUUCUGGUUCAUCAUCACGCACCUUCGAUCGCUCAGAUGGUCUUCCUCCAGGAAUGCCACCUAACUUUCAUCUCCCUUUUCAAGGGCCAUCCCAUGCCAGGGGACCUUUUGAUACCAUUGACCAAAGGCCAAAUGUUGCACCUUUCCCAACUUUUCCUGACCAACGCUCAAACAUUCCUCCCUUUUCUGCUUUUCCUGAUGCUCUCAUGCAUGGCAACGCUUCAGUUCCUCCAGAACCUCUCACCUUCAGGCUAUUAUGUUCAAGUGACAAGGUCGGAAGUAUUAUAGGGAAGGGUGGAAACAGUAUCAAGACUAUUCAGAAAGAUACCGGUUGUGAAAUAAAAAUUCUCGAGACUAUUCCAAAGUCAGAUGAUCACAUCAUAAUCAUCUCUGGACCGGCGCAUCCAGGUGAUGGCAUUUCCCCAGCACAGAAUGCAAUUCUGCAUGUGCAGCGUAAAAUCACGCCACCCACCUCUAACAAGGAGGGUCCUGCAAUAUCUAGGCUGAUUGUUUCACCUAACCAAGUUGGCUGCCUCCUUGGCAAAGGUGGCAGUAUCAUAGCUGAAAUGAGGAAGCUGUCAAAAGCUCAUAUAAUAGUGCUGAGCAAAGACAAGAUCCCAAGGGGUGUACAAGAAAUUGAUGAAGUUGUUCAGAUAACCGGGGAUUCUGAGGCUAUUCAGGAAGCUCUGAUGCAGAUAACUGCUAGGCUACGUAACAAUCUUUUCCGGGACAGAAUGGCUUCAAUGGGUCCCAGUAUGCAGCCACCUUUUGGUUUGCUGGAUCCCCAGUUUGGUGCAUUUGCGGGAAUCCAUGAAUCUACAUCUCCUAGAAUUUAUCCUAAUGCAUCUCAGUUUCAUAAAGAUUUCAUGGGACGACCAUUGGAUGAGAUGCCUGCUCCUUGGACCACAAAGGAUGUUGGUGAUCCGAUGUCAAUAUCUGGCAUUCCUGGAAUGGCACACAGAGGAAUGGGUGGAUUCUCUGGUCCUGUUCAUUCAUCUAGGCCAAUCAUAACUGGAAAUAUCAUGGUUCCAAGAUUAGUUAUACCUGCUCUAUGUGGGCAUGAUGGAGGUUGUUUGAAUCUGAUUCGCGAGUUUUCAGGAGCUAAGAUAACAAUCGAUGAACCGCUAGCUGAUUCCAUCGAUACACCUGUUAUGAUAUCUGGCACACCGGAUCAGAUGCAUGCAGCCCGAAGUCUUGUUCAAGCAUUUGUUCUAAGUGAACCACCUGCCUCAUGAGAUUUCAAAUCUCUGAAGGUGAUGCAUCCCCUUCUAAUAUUUUGAUCCUUCUGGGGAGGUCAUACGCCCAGGUCAGCAGUUUUGGUGAGUUGUCAACUGGGGUAGUUCCUUGUAGGCAGACAGUUGGUUAUCAUCUCUGCUUGGUUAUACUUUGCUGCUAUGUUAGCAUUGGAGGCUGCAUCCUAGAAGAGGGUUAAGCAGCACUCCACAAUAUACGAGCAAUGUAGGCAGACGCAGCAUGAAGCCUCGCUUCCGGUGCAUACAUGAGCACAAGCACAUUCAGACAGGCGAUGGACAUAGAAAAUUACUAUGAUAUUCUAGCACCAGGAUGCUUCUAUUUUGUAGCCACAUAUUGUAUGAAGCUUCUAUUUUGUGGCUCAUAUGUACAACUUCCAUCCAAUGGUGGUCAAUUGUCUUCUCGCUUACACAAGGGGCGGCAAAUCUAAUCCCUUUCGGCUCUAUUUUGUAGCCCAUGUUGUAUGAAGCUUCUAUUUUGUGACUCAUGUACAAAUUCACUCCAA
RNA transcript from Triticum aestivum (bread wheat), 2856 nucleotides. It is a transcript of the gene named KH domain-containing protein HEN4, with no coding region annotated. The record is from RefSeq and is a predicted model, not a curated record. The transcript is spliced from 10 exons. NCBI's taxonomy places the organism in Eukaryota, Viridiplantae, Streptophyta, Magnoliopsida, Poales, Poaceae.